This 490-nucleotide ribosomal RNA is filed under the name uncultured bacterium. Its description in RNAcentral is "partial 16S ribosomal RNA". It matches the Rfam family "Bacterial small subunit ribosomal RNA", at positions 30 to 507 of the family's 1533-position model. The record is from RNAcentral.
AUUGAACGCUGGCGGCAUGCCUUACACAUGCAAGUCGAACGGCAGCAUGAUCUAGCUUGCUAGAUUGAUGGCGAGUGGCGAACGGGUGAGUAAUACAUCGGAACGUGCCCUGUAGUGGGGGAUAACUAGUCGAAAGAUUAGCUAAUACCGCAUACGACCUGAGGGUGAAAGUGGGGGACCGCAAGGCCUCAUGCUAUAGGAGCGGCCGAUGUCUGAUUAGCUAGUUGGUGGGGUAAAGGCCCACCAAGGCGACGAGCAGUAGCUGGUCUGAGAGGACGAUCAGCCACACUGGGACUGAGACACGGCCCAGACUCCUACGGGAGGCCGCAGUGGGGAAUUUUGGACAAUGGGGGCAACCCUGAUCCAGCAAUGCCGCGUGUGUGAAGAAGGCCUUCGGGUUGUAAAGCACUUUUGUCCGGAAAGAAAUCGCACUUACUAAUAUUAGGUGUGGAUGACGGUACCGGAAGAAUAAGGACCGGCUAACUACGUG